Molecule: ribosomal RNA, 492 nt
Filed under: uncultured bacterium
Lineage: Bacteria
Description: partial 16S ribosomal RNA
Rfam family: Bacterial small subunit ribosomal RNA
Source: RNAcentral
AGUGAACGCUGGCGGUAGGCCUAACACAUGCAAGUCGAACGGCAGCACAGUAAGAGCUUGCUCUUACGGGUGGCGAGUGGCGGACGGGUGAGGAAUACAUCGGAGUCUACUUUUUCGUGGGGGAUAACGUAGGGAAACUUACGCUAAUACCGCAUACGACCUACGGGUGAAAGCAGGGGAUCUUCGGACCUUGCGCGAUUGAAUGAGCCGAUGUCGGAUUAGCUAGUUGGCGGGGUAAAGGCCCACCAAGGCGACGAUCCGUAGCUGGUCUGAGAGGAUGAUCAGCCGCACUGGAACUGAGACACGGUCCAGACUCCUACGGGAGGCAGCAGUGGGGAAUAUUGGACAAUGGGCGCAAGCCUGAUCCAGCCAUACCGCGUGGGUGAAGAAGGCCUUCGGGUUGUAAAGCCCUUUUGUUGGGAAAGAAAAGCAGCAGGUUAAUACCCCGCUGUUCUGACGGUACCCAAAGAAUAAGCACCGGCUAACUUCGUG